GAGGAAGUAGCUCAGUUGGUUAGAGCAACGAACUUUUUACUCUUCGCUAUAAAUUAUAUUUAAGCACAAAGAGUUCCUAAAACUUUGGAUUCAUGGGUCGCAGGUUCGAGUCCUGCCUUCCUCG
RNAcentral lists this transfer RNA (124 nucleotides) under Alcanivoracaceae bacterium. RNAcentral's name for it is "tRNA-OTHER". It matches the Rfam family "tRNA". Rfam says of the family: Transfer RNA (tRNA) molecules are approximately 80 nucleotides in length. Their secondary structure includes four short double-helical elements and three loops (D, anti-codon, and T loops). The record is from RNAcentral. Lineage: Bacteria; Pseudomonadati; Pseudomonadota; Gammaproteobacteria; Oceanospirillales; Alcanivoracaceae.